GCCUAGGGCCAUACUACCCGGAACACACCAGAUCCCGUCUGAUCCCAGAAGCUAAGCAGGGUCGGGCCUGGUUAGUACUUGGAUGGAAGACCGCUUGGGAAUACCGGGUGCCCUAGGCU
Ribosomal RNA from Rhineura floridana, 119 nucleotides. The record is from RefSeq and is a predicted model, not a curated record. Lineage: Eukaryota; Metazoa; Chordata; Lepidosauria; Squamata; Rhineuridae.